RNAcentral lists this ribosomal RNA (403 nucleotides) under Verrucomicrobiota bacterium. Its description in RNAcentral is "Verrucomicrobia bacterium partial 16S ribosomal RNA". It matches the Rfam family "Bacterial small subunit ribosomal RNA", at positions 355 to 776 of the family's 1533-position model. Lineage: Bacteria; Pseudomonadati; Verrucomicrobiota. The record is from RNAcentral.
UGGGUAAUAUUGCACAAUGGGCGCAAGCCUGAUGCAGCAACGCCGCGUGAACGAUGAAGGUCUUCGGAUCGUAAAGUUCUGUUGCAGGGGAAGAUAAUGACGGUACCCUGUGAGGAAGCCCCGGCUAACUACGUGCCAGCAGCCGCGGUAAUACGUAGGGGGCUAGCGUUAUCCGGAUUUACUGGGCGUAAAGGGUGCGUAGGUGGUCUUUCAAGUCGGUGGUUAAAGGCUACGGCUCAACCGUAGUUAGCCUCCGAAACUGGAAGACUUGAGUGCAGGAGAGGAAAGUGGAAUUCCCAGUGUAGCGGUGAAAUGCGUGGAUAUUGGGAGGAACACCAGUAGCGAAGGCGGCUUUCUGGACUGCAACUGACACUGAGGCACGAAAGCGUGGGUAGCAAACAGG